AUGAUUUCAGGUAUCAUGAUACUUUCUAGGUAGCAUGAUAUUUACGGAAAAUGGCUUAAGUGGGCAAGGGAACAUGGAGAUGAGUUUUGUGUUUGAUUCCUUGAUUUGAUUUUGUUUCAGACUGAUUUUUUAGUUGUUUUCCAAGUAAUGAAUGUGGAGGCAAAUCAGUUCAGUUCAGUGUCCUUCAUAAGCACCAACCUCGUUUCAAAGGCAGGAGAUCACUUUCAGAUUAUUUAUACGAUAUUCUUAUACAAGUUUCAGCUUUAAGAUGAGCACGAUCUCAAAUUGCAAACUGUAAAAUACAAGUCUCAUGUGGUUCCAUUUGUCUCGCAAUUCACUUACAUCUGAUUUUUAGAUUUGAUGCCAUUUGUAUGCCACUAGUCUUAUUUUAUACGCCUCUACCUAUAACUCACCCAGGAGUUUUUGGAGGGCUGCAAUAUUAUGAACAUUUGAUAUGUGUAACUUCUGCCAAAAUGCUGAACUUGAUGUUUAGAGUGUGCAUCGUUGUAGUGACUAGUAUAUUGUUUGUGACUAGGUGAAUCACGUAAGUAUAAUCUAAAUUAGGCUUGCCUUUACUAAUACUUUAACACAUUAAAUUGUAGUAUAAUAUUGUACUCCAUGAAUUUAUGAUGCAUCAGUGAUGUGAAAUCAGGGUUUGAGAAGCUGGAGCUCUUAAGCAAGGUGACUGCAUAGUGUUUGUCAAAGCUGUCAGUGUGAAUACAUUUGGCCUCAGUGGUGGAUAAAUUCUACAGAUGAUCAAAAACCUGCAUGUAGCCUGCGAGCUCCUAGUGAUGUGAAUGAUAACUUUAGACACAAAAUGAUUUCUUAUUCAUGUCUGAUCCACAACUUUCACCAUAUUCUCCUUCAUUUCAGGCCAUCGAAUCUUCUCCUGGACCAAAGUAACAUUGACAUUUCAGCUUUCCGCACGACAGGUGAUUGGCUCAAUGGUUUUCGAACAGGACAGUGCAAAGGCAUUUUCACAGGUGUGGAGUACAGUUCCUGUGAUACAAUAGCCAAGAUUUCCACCGAUGAUAUGAAGAAAAUUGGUGUUACAGUUGUGGGGCCUCAAAAGAAGAUCGUUAGCAGUAUCAAAACUCUAGAAACUCAUACGAAGAACAGCCCUGUUCCUGUGUAAGGUACCAAAAUGAUGUUGCUGAGGACAGAAAAAAGAAAAGUCGCAUCAAAGAGCAAAAGCGAUGUCUGAUAAACGGCACAGUUUAAAGGAGUUCUUUGCAGCAGUUUUGGAAACAUAAUGGUUGAAAUUUCAAACCCACUGAGACACUCAAAUACUGAGUAUAAAUGCCUUAAAAAUAGGAGCGAACUUGUUUUCUAUCUGUUAAUCCUGAAGGGUGGGUGCUCUUAACUGACUGUUAAUGCAGAUAGUAAAUUUCAAAAGAAAAAAAAAAUAUGUAAAAAAUCCUUCCAAGUAAAAAACAGUGAUACUAAAACCUAGAGCCAUUUGAAUAUUAAGUGACUGAAUAACAUGAAAAACCCAAGGACAUAAAAGCUGUGUAUUUGAUCUAUACAGCAAACAAGAAGAAAGAAAGACUUACAGUAUUUUUAUACAGAAGAGAUCUGUAACAGGUAUUUUAUUUCUUUAAAAGCAAGGAAAAUAGAGGACUAUACCUCACAAUCUGUCUGGCCAUAUUUACUAUAAUGUCAUUGUAACAUGCUAUUUGAACUUCAGAAAGGAAUACAGAAAUAAAAUUUGUAGUGACUGGGUUAGUUGGCAAAAGAUUUUCACCAUUAUGUUAGCUUCCUUAAUUGUGUUCGUUUAAAUAGAAAAAAAGUCUUAAUUCUUAAAAGACUUAUUUAUUUCCUUUCUUGUUUAUUUUUUUUCCCCAUUAUUGUUUAUAUUUAUGCUUAAAUACCUUAACCUGGCUGCAUUAUUGACAAGUGCCAAAUGUUAUCAAAACUUCAUUGGUUUAACCUGACAAAUCAUGUGAGGUUUAAUUACUUGAUUAUUUUACACUCGCAACAUCAUAUACAAAGUAUAGAAGGAAAGAAAGGUGGUCUUUUUUGUAGCUCCGACCCUAGGCAAAGCAUCAGGACUUGCUGAGAUUUCUUUCCUUUGCAGUGAAUGAUAUUUUAAUCUGGGCUUGAAUUCUGGCGGAAUUGCAUGCCCAUUGAUCUCCGGAUCAGUACCUGGCCUGGCCAACCAUAUGUAUUUCCUUUGCUUCCCUAAGGCCUGAUUUCAUGUCACAAAGGUCUGCUGUCUUCAGAUGCUGUUCAGGUGGGAGAAUUACCUAGCAAUUGUAAGAGUGUAUCCUGCUCUGAUAGUGCUUUUUGAGCUUGCUGAGGAAUUCUGCAUUUCUGUCUUCCAUCUCAUGGGCUCCCAGUGCUGGUAACUGGGAGUUGUACUACCAUGUAGGCAGCCAAGGAUAGUUGAAGAAGAUGAGUUAAGCUUCUGCAGUAGGAGUUUGGCUUGUCAUUUUGAUUAAUUCUGAUCCAGAAGACCUCUGUCCAGAUGCUGUGAUUCUUCAGGAGCCUUGCUUUUGGUUCAGGUUCCAUGCGCACCUGUGUUUGCCACUCCACAUGGCUGGAGCCACCUCAGUCUUGACAGGGCUGAAAAUUAAUUUUGUGGCAAUGUGAGAGUCCAGAAAACACAGCACUCGCAAGGGUGUGUUUUGGUAGAUGUCCCAGUGUAACCAAAACCACCAGGCUCCAUCCAAAAGGUAUUUAGGAAUGGUUCUUCCUUCUGCAAGGUGAGUUGGGGUAAAGCCAGCUGUACUGUUUUAGAAGAUGAUAAGCUGUGCUUGGUCCCUUGAAAGAAAUCAGAAGGGAGCCUAUCUUCAAGAGACCAUUCACAUUUUUCAGUAGAAAAAGGAACAUAAAGGAGGGGAUUUGAGUCUUCCUACAUCUUCAGCAUCUUCCCUUUAGUGAGCUCUUAAGCUCCUGUUUAUGUUAGUCCUGGUCCUGAACAGACACAGCUCUUUCCUCUGAAAAUGGGGGGUUUUAAGUCACUGUGUGAGGCAUUUCUAGUGCUGCAUACAGGCCAGUUUCUUCGUGCCCCCCUGGAUUUCCAACUUGCCAUUUUUAAACUUAAAUCUGAUUCUAAUGAGUAACAGUGAGUCAUUGGCAGUCCAAGACUGUAGGCGAGGCAGUUGGGUGCAUAGCAUGCCACCUUCUGUUGUGCAGUCAAGUUUGUCAUCCUUUCUUUGCAGUGUUGGUCUGGUUGUUGAAGGUCCUUGUAGCACAGGGCACAUAAAUAUGAGGGAAAAAAUCGGUUCCUGGGAUUUGUGUGGCUGAACCAGUUUCCAAAUUGUUUUUAUUGGGUCCAAGACUUUUCAGAUGCAGAGCAACAGCAUUUAUUACACAUUAAUAAAUAGAAGCAGAGUUAGGGGUAAUGAACAUUCUGUAAAGGAUUGCAUUUGAAAUGCACUCACGGGAUAAGAAUGUCUUCUGAAAGAAAAAAUGAAGGAGUUUUAAAGUAAGUCAAAAUAAAAAAUGAAAAGUGGAAGAAAAAAUGAAAAGGAAGCACUUAUGAUGCAAAAACACUUCUUAUGUACUACAAUCUAUUGUGAAAUACAGCAUGCUAACUACAAAAGCCGUUUUUUCAGUUGCUUAGUUCAUCCAGAAUCUUUCUUUUGCUCAGUUUGAGAUUGCUCUGUCAGACACUGUUGGUGAAUUUAAAAGUUCACCAAAAUCCAUUUGCAGACAAUGUGUGUGGGGACAGCGUUUUACAACAUGUUCCUCCUGUUUUUCUUCAGCUUCAUUCUGGAGACUAGAGGUGAGUGGGCUGAGGGGGGAAUAGAUCCCGAAAUGCUCCUGAAAACACAGAGCUGGUUCAUAGAGUUUUAGAUUACAAGGAAAACUUUGCACCAACCACUCUCAGUCUUCUCAUAGUACUGUGUCAUGGUCCUUGCCCACUGUUAGAGCAUGCUCAGUGUAAGAAAUUAAAUCUUACUGAUGCUUGAGAAAAAAGAAACUCAAUUUUGCUUUUCUUUGCUAUGAGGAGUAUAGUGUUUUAAACUACACUUAGAUUUUUUCUCCCUGUCAAAUGUUGAUUUGUACUGUAAGUGGCCUCUUUUGCAAGCAUCCUAUACUCCCUAUCCCCAUGUACAUAUGUAAACAUAGCAGUGUACAAUUCUUCAUUGUGGAGUAGAGAUACUAGAAUUUGUGUGGCCAUCUUCCUGUACAGGACUUGCAUUCAUUAUUGACAUCAAGCAAAAUGCAACAGCUCAUAAAAUGUCGUACCAUAUUAUUGGGUUUGUAUCUUUAAAUAUAGUUUCCAUUUUAUUUAUUUCUGUUAACAUAUCUAGUUUUGUGCUGUUACUUAGCGUUCAAUAAGCAAUGUAUAGAUGUGAUUUGAUUGGCAAUAUGUAUUUACUUUAACUUGUAUUUUCAAAGCAUUACUUACUCAUUUAGUUUAUAUAUUGUGCAAUUGUAGAUGGCCUCUUACUAAUGUAAAAUGAUUUGUAGUGGAAACAUUUAUAUUUUUAUAAUAAACAUAAUGAAAGUAUUUUUUACAUACUGGAAUACUGAGGUGAUUGCUUGGAAGACAAAGUAAAUUUAUUUGAUUAGAAAAGUGUGAUAAAAUUGUAAUUAAAUAUGGAUACAUUCUGAGUGUUAAAGCAUGGGUUCGGAGUGAAAGCUAGAUAUUGCCUAUAUUAUCUGUUAAAAGAAACAAGUAGUGCAGGCUCUAAAUAGACAGACAAGCAUUUGUGCUAAACGUCUUACAUCAAUCAAAGACUUUACUUUCUCCAUGGAUACAGGAAAACAUCGUCUACUACAGCCUGCCUAUGGGAUACUGAAAAAGUUGUCAUUUAUUUUAGUUGUGUCAACUAUUUCCAAACUUCUGCAUUUUUUCUUCCCUUGCCAGUGGACCUCUUUUCAUCUUAUAUCUAUGUUGAAUCCAGUAUAAGAUGUAAUUUUCAACAAAAUAAAAAGCCCACCACUUACAGUA
This is a non-coding RNA of Meleagris gallopavo (turkey), 4906 nucleotides long. The record is from RefSeq and is a predicted model, not a curated record. NCBI's taxonomy places the organism in Eukaryota, Metazoa, Chordata, Aves, Galliformes, Phasianidae.